RNAcentral lists this long non-coding RNA (829 nucleotides) under Urocitellus parryii (Arctic ground squirrel). Its description in RNAcentral is "lncRNA (ENSUPAG00010016107.1)". The record is from RNAcentral. Lineage: Eukaryota; Metazoa; Chordata; Mammalia; Rodentia; Sciuridae.
CUCCCCCGCCCCCGCCCCCCGCUCUGCCGCGGGCCCCCGCCCGCCGCGGGCCGAGAGCUCGGCGCGCUCGACCCCGGGUCCCGCCUCCCCGAGGUUUUCGCUUUCGCUUUCCCGCUGAUGUCGUUGGGGAAAAUUAAGCUGCCGAGGCCAGGCUGGCGCAGAAGCCGUUCCUGGCGAGGGGCGCAGAGCACGGCRGCGGCGGCGGCCGGCCUGGAACCCGGGUCCCGCUGCCCGCGCCGGGCGAGGACUUUGCUCAGUGGAUUGCUCCAUCCUCCUUGGAAUCCCUUCUCCUAAUGUUCUUGCCACUACUUCUCCAACUGAGUUGCUGAGCUGUUGAGUGGCAUGCCGUCCUUGGAUGGCUUCUCCACCGACUUCCAUUCUACAUCAUGGUCAUCUUGACUUCGAAGAGCUACAUGCUGAACACUCACAAAUAUUCAUUUCCAGACUCUCCCCUGGAUAUCUCCAGCCAAGUGUCCAAAAGACAUCUCACACGAAACAUGUCUGUGUUAGCUUUUCAUCACUGUGACCAGAAUACCUGACAAGAACAACUUAGAGGAGGAAAGCUAUUUUUGGGCUCUCAGUUUCUGAGGAUUCAGUCUAUGGCAGCUGGCUCCAUUCCGUUGAACCUGAGGUGAGGCAGAACAUCAUGGUAGAAGUGGGUGGUAAAGAACUGCUCAAUUCAUGGCAGCCAGAAAGAAAACCUUCUAAGACGCUGGGGCUGUAGCUCAGUGGCAGAGCCCUUGCCUAGCAUGUGUGAGACACUGACUGGAUUCGAUUCUUAGCAUCACACAAUUAAUAAAUAAAAUAAAGAAACUUCUUGUAGGGAACA